Molecule: unclassified non-coding RNA, 342 nt
Filed under: uncultured bacterium
Lineage: Bacteria
Description: contains 16S-23S intergenic spacer region
Source: RNAcentral
AAUCCAAGAAUUUCACCUCCAACUGUCAAAUACGAGAACCCCCAACCGCUCCUACCGAUCAUCACCUUCAAUCGACAAGCCAACAAAUCAGAAUCAAGGUCAAACUUGUUAUUCCAUGCUUUGAUAUUCUUAGCGAUGACCACCGUGAAACAAUCUAAUUUCUUCGAAGUACGUGACGGCAGCUUGGUUUCGCAAAAUUAAGUGCAACGCGCGAGCUGUCGAGAGCGCCAAACUACUCCAAGUACUUCCAAAGGAAGUAUUCGAGCUGAACGACAGAUGCUGAACUACGAGCUUUUUAAACGCAACAACUUUAACAUACGCUUUUGGAGCUGGAAUUACCGC